This is a long non-coding RNA of Anguilla rostrata (American eel), 646 nucleotides long. RefSeq lists it as uncharacterized. The transcript is spliced from 3 exons. The record is from RefSeq and is a predicted model, not a curated record. NCBI's taxonomy places the organism in Eukaryota, Metazoa, Chordata, Actinopteri, Anguilliformes, Anguillidae.
AUAUUUUUAUACGGUCUAUGGUCCAUACCAAGUACAGGUUCAGGAAGUGGCAAAAGUCACUUCUGCACGCAGCAGGUGUGACUGCUCUGCAUAUCUGCCGAGUUCUGGGUGGAUCUAGUAAUUAUUGUCGAACAUUCCACAGGUGUCACAGUCAGGUGUUUUCAGCGUUCUUGUCAUUGUCAGUACACGUUAUAAGGAAACAAAAAGUAAAUCUGAACCUCAUACUAAACAGAGAGUAGGGAAUACAGCUUGUGCAUUGUCUUCACAAGGACUGUGUGAAUAAAAUAUAAAAUACAAACUUAUCCAGCACACGAUGGCUCUGAGAAUUGCAGGCUUCGACUUAUCAUGGGGCAGUUUUUCAUUAUCAUUUGCCAAGCUAAAGAUGUCAAACGUCAACUUCAUAAUCAUGGGUAUUACUGGAAUAGUCUGCUUCGGAUUGAUGGUUCUCAUUUGAUUCCAGAUUGAGGAAGAAAUGAGGAGGAAAGGCAUUAGAAGUGGGCAUGAAUACAUUCCCCAAGCAAACUCUGAUGGCCCAAACAUCUGGCAGGGCUAUUCACUUCAGCCACCUGGGCACCCAAGUCUUUUCCUGUAUUUGUUAUGCUGUUUUGUCCACGUCUACUUAUGUGUUUCAGGAAAUCCUUAAUCC